RNAcentral lists this ribosomal RNA (448 nucleotides) under uncultured bacterium. RNAcentral's name for it is "bacterial SSU rRNA". It matches the Rfam family "Bacterial small subunit ribosomal RNA", at positions 355 to 796 of the family's 1533-position model. The record is from RNAcentral.
UCGAGAAUUUUUCACAAUGGGCGCAAGCCUGAUGGAGCGACGCCGCGUGGGGGAUGAAUGGCUUCGGCCCGUAAACCCCUGUCAUUUGCGAUCAAACGUUAUUAUUUAAAAGAUGAUGACCUGAUAGUAGCGAAAGAGGAAGGGACGGCUAACUCUGUGCCAGCAGCCGCGGUAAUACAGAGGUCCCAAGCGUUGUUCGGAUUCACUGGGCGUAAAGGGUGCGUAGGUGGCGGGGUAAGUCGGAUGUGAAAUCUCGGAGCUCAACUCCGAAACUGCAUUGGAAACUACCUUGCUUGAGGGUUGGAGGGGGGACUGGAAUACUUGGUGUAGCAGUGAAAUGCGUAGAUAUCAAGUGGAACACCAGUGGCGAAGGCGAGUCCCUGGACAACUCCUGACACUGAGGCACGAAAGCUAGGGGAGCAAACAGGAUUAGAUACCCCCGUAGUCC